Molecule: ribosomal RNA, 274 nt
Filed under: uncultured bacterium
Lineage: Bacteria
Description: partial 16S ribosomal RNA
Rfam family: Bacterial small subunit ribosomal RNA
Source: RNAcentral
AGACGUAGGGGGCGAGCGUUGCUCGGAAUCACUGGGCUUAAAGGGCGCGUAGGCGGUUGUGCAAGUCUGGGGUUGAAGCCCACGGCUCAACCGUGGAAGGGCCCUGGAGACCGCACGACUUGAGUGAGCGAGGGGAGGGCGGAAUUCCCGGUGUAGCGGUGAAAUGCGUAGAUAUCGGGAGGAAGGCCUGUGGCGAAGGCGGCCCUCUGGCGCUUGACUGACGCUGAGGCGCGAAAGCGUGGGGAGCAAACAGGAUUAGAAACCCUUGUAGUCC